RNAcentral lists this ribosomal RNA (465 nucleotides) under Vreelandella stevensii. Its description in RNAcentral is "partial 16S ribosomal RNA". It matches the Rfam family "Bacterial small subunit ribosomal RNA", at positions 338 to 795 of the family's 1533-position model. The record is from RNAcentral. Lineage: Bacteria; Pseudomonadati; Pseudomonadota; Gammaproteobacteria; Oceanospirillales; Halomonadaceae.
CCUACGGGUGGCUGCAGUGGGGAAUAUUGGACAAUGGGGGCAACCCUAAUCCAGCCAUGCCGCGUGUGUGAAGAAGGCCCUCGGGUUGUAAAGCACUUUCAGUGAGGAAGAACGCCUGGUGGUUAAUACCCAUCAGGAAAGACAUCACUCACAGAAGAAGCACCGGCUAACUCCGUGCCAGCAGCCGCGGUAAUACGGAGGGUGCGAGCGUUAAUCGGAAUUACUGGGCGUAAAGCGCGCGUAGGUGGCUUGAUAAGCCGGUUGUGAAAGCCCCGGGCUCAACCUGGGAACGGCAUCCGGAACUGUCAAGCUAGAGUGCAGGAGAGGAAGGUAGAAUUCCCGGUGUAGCGGUGAAAUGCGUAGAGAUCGGGAGGAAUACCAGUGGCGAAGGCGGCCUUCUGGACUGACACUGACACUGAGGUGCGAAAGCGUGGGUAGCAAACAGGAUUAGAUACCCCUGUAGUC